RNAcentral lists this ribosomal RNA (206 nucleotides) under uncultured bacterium. Its description in RNAcentral is "partial 16S ribosomal RNA". It matches the Rfam family "Bacterial small subunit ribosomal RNA", at positions 1298 to 1500 of the family's 1533-position model. The record is from RNAcentral.
UUGUAGUCUGCAACCCGGCCUACAUGAAGCUGGAAUCGCUAGUAAUCGCAGAUCAGAAUGCUGCGGUGAAUACGUUCCCGGGUCUUGUACACACCGCCCGUCACACCAUGGGAGUCGGAAAUGCCCGAAGUCGGUGACCCAACCGUUUAUGGAGGGAGCUGCCGAAGGCAGGUCUGGUGACUGGGGUGAAGUCGUAACAAGGUACC